AGAGUUUGAUCCUGGCUCAGGACGAACGCUGGCGGCGUGCCUAAUACAUGCAAGUAGAACGCUGAAGGAGGAGCUUGCUUCUCUGGAUGAGUUGCGAACGGGUGAGUAACGCGUAGGUAACCUGCCUGGUAGCGGGGGAUAACUAUUGGAAACGAUAGCUAAUACCGCAUAAGAGUGGAUGUUGCAUGACAUUUGCUUAAAAGGUGCACUUGCAUCACUACCAGAUGGACCUGCGUUGUAUUAGCUAGUUGGUGGGGUAAGGGCUCACCAAGGCGACGAUACAUAGCCGACCUGAGAGGGUGAUCGGCCACACUGGGACUGAGACACGGCCCAGACUCCUACGGGAGGCAGCAGUAGGGAAUCUUCGGCAAUGGACGGAAGUCUGACCGAGCAACGCCGCGUGAGUGAAGAAGGUUUUCGGAUCGUAAAGCUCUGUUGUAAGAGAAGAACGAGUGUGAGAGUGGAAAGUUCACACUGUGACGGUAUCUUACCAGAAAGGGACGGCUAACUACGUGCCAGCAGCCGCGGUAAUACGUAGGUCCCGAGCGUUGUCCGGAUUUAUNGGUUUUCGAUUUCUGUUUCCGUGUCUGAAGGCUUCCUUUCCUUUCUGUUGAUAGGCUAGUAACAGACGAUUGAUUUGUCUUUCAGAAAGAUUGAGUUCGACACAGGCCCGUUUCUUUGUUUUCUUUCCUUGGGCUAUAGCUUUUAUCACAAGAUAUUUUUUCGUUUCAUUCAUAUUCAGUUGGAUCCUUUUCAUAUGACUAUUCUACCAAAUGGGACAUUUUCACGUUCGAUUUACUAAAGACAUUAUCACAUUCGAAUUACAUAUUUUAGAGAAAAAAUCUCAAAAGUGAUUGACAAUUAGCAAGAAAUUGAUAUAAUGGUUAUAUCUGCUACAGAUAGAAGGUCCGUUGGUCAAGGGGUUAAGACACCGCCUUUUCACGGCGGUAACACGGGUUCGAAUCCCGUACGGACUAUGGUAUGUUGCGGUUGGAACACUUGAUGAAAAAAAGUUUAAAAAAACUUAAAAAUCUUCAAA
RNAcentral lists this ribosomal RNA (1039 nucleotides) under Streptococcus pneumoniae. RNAcentral describes it as "bacterial SSU rRNA". The stretch from base 2 to 554 matches the Rfam family "Bacterial small subunit ribosomal RNA", at positions 9 to 546 of the family's 1533-position model. Lineage: Bacteria; Bacillati; Bacillota; Bacilli; Lactobacillales; Streptococcaceae. The record is from RNAcentral.